GGCAGGAGUCCUAACAAAGAGUUUAGGGAUAACAUGAGAGGACCUGGGAGGGCCAGUGCAGGCCCUGCAUAAAUUGGGGGAGGUGGAGAGAGGCCAAGGAAGGGGAUGCAGCACAUGUGCAGGAAGGCUGGGGGGUGGGUUAGUAUGACAAGAUGCACAGACGGAAGGCCAGGUGUGGAUGUGGUGUGGUAGGGUGUAUGUUCAGGAAGGCCAGUGGGGGGACUUACCAAGGUAAUCUUCCCUGCUGGCUUCCCCAGUGACUUUUUUUGUGGGAAGCCAGCAGAGGACUGGUGAUCAGUUGACCUUGGGAUGUUGCAACUCUCUUGUGAACCAGUUUCCAAGUGCUUAAUUGUGACCACAUUCCUGCAAGGAUGUUGUGAUAACCAGAACUUCAAGGACCAGUUAAAGGACCCCUAGGAAACAUCAAGAAAUAGCUAAGCAAAAAGUUGAGGAAUUAUCAACAAAAAUCCUUGUUCUGGAACGGAACGUGGCAUAAGCAGCUUCAGACCAUAGACAGAUGAGUCUAAUAAUGGAGACAUUUCUGCUGGGAAUCUUAUAACGGACUAAAAUGUUCAGGAGGGAGACUAAUAAAAGAAUACUUUCCACAGUUA
Long non-coding RNA from Pantherophis guttatus, 611 nucleotides. RefSeq lists it as uncharacterized. Lineage: Eukaryota; Metazoa; Chordata; Lepidosauria; Squamata; Colubridae. The record is from RefSeq and is a predicted model, not a curated record.